This is a long non-coding RNA of Homo sapiens (human), 12555 nucleotides long. Ensembl annotates it as X inactive specific transcript. Its record names the gene XIST. The record is from Ensembl. Lineage: Eukaryota; Metazoa; Chordata; Mammalia; Primates; Hominidae.
ACACAGCUCAACCUAUCUGAAUAAAAUCCUACUCUCAGACCCCUUUUGCAGUACAGCAGGGGUGCUGAUCACCAAGGCCCUUUUUCCUGGCCUGGUAUGCGUGUGAUUAUGUUUGUCCCGGUUCCUGUGUAUUAGACAUGGAAGCCUCCCCUGCCACACUCCACCCCCAAUCUUCCUUUCCCUUCCGGCAGGGAGUGCCCUCUCCAUAAGACGCUUACGUUUGGACAAUCAAGGUGCACAGUUGUAAGUGACCACAGGCAUACACCUUGGACAUUAAUGUGCAUAACCACUUUGCCCAUUCCAUCUGAAUAAGGUCCUACUCUCAGACCCCUUUUGCAGUACAGCAGGGGUGCUGAUCACCAAGGCCCCUUUUCUUGGCCUGUUAUGUGCGUGAUUAUAUUUGUCUGGGUUCCUGUGUAUUAGACAAGGAAGCCUUCCCCCCGCCCCCACCCCCACUCCCAGUCUUCCUUUCCCUUCCAGCAGGGAGUGCCCCCUCCAUAAGAUCAUUACAUUUGGACAAUCAAGGUGCACAAUUAUAAGUGACCACAGCCAUGCACCUUGGACAUUAUUGGACAUUAAUGUGCGUAACUGCACAUGGCCCAUCCCAUCUGAAUAAGGUCCUACUCUCAGAUGCCCUUUGCAGUACAGCAGGGGUACUGAAUCACCAAGGCCCUUUUUCUUGGCCUGUUAUGUGUGUGAUUAUAUUUAUCCCAGUUUCUGUGUAAUAGACAUGAAAGCCUCCCCUGCCACACCCCACCUCCAAUCUUCCUUUCCCUUCCACCAGGGAGUGUCCACUCCAUAUACCCUUACAUUUGGACAAUCAAGGUGCACAAUUGUAAGUGAGCAUAGGCACUCACCUUGGACAUGAAUGUGCAUAACUGCACAUGGCCCAUCCCAUCUGAAUAAGGUCCUACUCUCAGACCCUUUUUGCAGUACAGCAGGGGUGCUGAUCACCAAGGCCCCUUUUCCUGGCCUGUUAUGUGUGUGAUUAUAUUUGUUCCAGUUCCUGUGUAAUAGACAUGGAAGCCUCCCCUGCCACACUCCACCCCCAAUCUUCCUUUCCCUUCUGGCAGGAAGUACCCGCUCCAUAAGACCCUUACAUUUGGACAGUCAAGGUGCACAAUUGUAUGUGACCACAACCAUGCACCUUGGACAUAAAUGUGUGUAACUGCACAUGGCCCAUCCCAUCUGAAUAAGGUCCUACUCUCAGACCCCUUUUGCAGUACAGUAGGUGUGCUGAUAACCAAGGCCCCUCUUCCUGGCCUGUUAACGUAUGUGAUUAUAUUUGUCUGGGUUCCAGUGUAUAAGACAUGGAAGCCUCCCCUGCCCCACCCCACCCUCAAUCUUCCUUUCCCUUCUGGCAGGGAGUGCCAGCUCCAUAAGAACCUUACAUUUGGACAGUCAAGGUGCACAAUUCUAAGUGACCGCAGCCAUGCACCUUGGUCAAUAAUGUGUGUAACUGCACACGGCCUAUCUCAUCUGAAUAAGGCCUUACUCUCAGACCCCUUUUGCAGUACAGCAGGGGUGCUGAUAACCAAGGCCCAUUUUCCUGGCCUGUUAUGUGUGUGAUUAUAUUUGUCCAGGUUUCUGUGUACUAGACAAGGAAGCCUCCUCUGCCCCAUCCCAUCUACGCAUAAUCUUUCUUUUCCUCCCAGCAGGGAGUGCUCACUCCAUAAGACCCUUACAUUUGGACAAUCAAGGUGCACAAUUGUAAGUGACCACAACCAUGCAUCUUGGAAAUUUAUGUGCAUAACUGCACAUGGCUUAUCCUAUUUGAAUAAAGUCCUACUCUCAGACCCCCUUUGCAGUAUAGCUGGGGUGCUGAUCACUGAGGCCUCUUUGCUUGGCUUGUCUAUAUUCUUGUGUACUAGAUAAGGGCACCUUCUCAUGGACUCCCUUUGCUUUUCAACAAGGAGUACCCACUACUUUUUAAGAUUCUUAUAUUUGUCCAAAGUACAUGGUUUUAAUUGACCACAACAAUGUCCCUUGGACAUUAAUGUAUGUAAUCACCACAUGGUUCAUCCUAAUUAAACAAAGUUCUACCUUCUCACCCUCCAUUUGCAGUAUACCAGGGUUGCUGACCCCCUAAGUCCCCUUUUCUUGGCUUGUUGACAUGCAUAAUUGCAUUUAUGUUGGUUCUUGUGCCCUAGACAAGGAUGCCCCACCUCUUUUCAAUAGUGGGUGCCCACUCCUUAUGAUCUUUACAUUUGAACAGUUAAUGUGAAUAAUUGCAGUUGUCCACAACCCUAUCACUUCUAGGACCAUUAUACCUCUUUUGCAUUACUGUGGGGUAUACUGUUUCCCUCCAAGGCCCCUUCUGGUGGACUAUCAACAUAUAAUUGAAAUUUUCUUUUGUCUUUGUCAGUAGAUUAAGGUCAUACCCCAUCACCUUUCCUUUGUAGUACAACAGGGUGUCCUGAUCAACCAAAGUCCUGUUGUUUUGGACUGUUAAUAUGUGCAAUUACAUUUGCUCCUGAUCUGUGCACUAGAUAAGGAUCCUACCUACUUUCUUAGUGUUUUUAGCAGGUAGUGCCCACUACUCAAGACUGUCACUUGGAAUGUUCAUGUGCACAAACUCAAUUCUCUAAGCAUGUUCCUGUACCACCUUUGCUUUAGAGCAGGGGGAUGAUAUUCACUAAGUGCCCCUUCUUUUGGACUUAAUAUGCAUUAAUGCAAUUGUCCACCUCUUCUUUUAGACUAAGAGUUGAUCUCCACAUAUUCCCCUUGCAUCAGGGGCAUGUUAAUUAUGAAUGAACCCUUUUCUUUUAAUAUUAAUGUCAUAAUUGUAUUUGUGGACCUGUGUAGGAGAAAAAGACCCUAUGUUCCUCCCAUUACCCUUUGGAUUGCUGCUGAGAAGUGUUAACUACUCAUAAUCUCAGCUCUUGGACAAUUAAUAGCAUUAAUAACAAUUAUCAAGGGCACUGAUCAUUAGAUAAGACUCCUGCUUCCUCGUUGCUUACAUCGGGGGUACUGACCCACUAAGGCCCCUUGUACUGUUAAUGUGAAUAUUUGCAAUUAUAUAUGUCUCCUUCUGGUAGAGUGGGAUAUUAUGCCCUAGUAUCCCCUUUGCAUUACUGCAGGGGCUGCUGACUACUCAAAACUUCUCCUGGGACUGUUAAUAGGCACAAUGGCAGUUAUCAAUGGUUUUCUCCCUCCCUGACCUUGUUAAGCAAGCGCCCCACCCCACCCUUAGUUUCCCAUGGCAUAAUAAAGUAUAAGCAUUGGAGUAUUCCAUGCACUUGUCUAUCAAACAGUGGUCCAUACUCCCAACCCUUUUGCAUUGCGCCAGUGUGUAAAAUCACAGGUAGCCAUGGUGUCAUGCUUUAUAUACGAAGUCUUCCCUCUCUCUGCCCCUUGUGUGCCCUUGGCCCCUUUUUACAGACUAUUGCUCACAAUCUCAGGUGUCCAUAUUUGCAGCUAUUAGGUAAGAUUGUGCUGUCUCCCUCUUCCCUUCCCUCUGCCCUGCCCCUUUUGCCUCUUUGCUGGGUAAUGUUGACCAGACAAGGCCCUUUCUCUUGGACUUAAACAAUUCUCAGUUGCACUUUCCUUGGUCCCACCCAUUAUACAUGAACCCCUCUACUUCCUUUCGCAUUGCUUCUGAGUAUGCUGACUACCCAAAGCCCCUUCUGUGUUAUUAAUAAACACAGUACUGAUUGUCCCAUUUUUCAGCCCAUCAGUCCAAGAUCUCCCUACCACUUUGGUGUGUUGGUGCAGUGUUGACUAUGAAAAGCAGGCCUGAACUAGGUGGAUAAGCCUUCACUCAUUUUCUUUCAUUUAUUAAUGAUCCUAGUUUCAAUUAUUGUCAGAUUCUGGGGACAAGAACCAUUCUUGCCCACCUGUGUUACUGCUUUACUGUGCAAAAUACUGAAGGCAAGUCAGACCCAGGGAGCUGGAUUGCCAUCCUUUAUUUUGUGUUUCCAGUGUACACUAUAAAAUUGUCUCCCCAGGAAGGAAGGUUGGCACUUUCUCUGCAUUCUUCUUUCCAGAGCAGAUUGCCUGGUUAAGAAUCUCUUGUUGUCCCCUUUGUAUAUUGUUAUUGUAAAGUGCCAAAUGCCAGGAUACAGCCAGAAAAAUUGCUUAUUAUUAUUAAAAAAAUUUUUUUAAGAAAGACAUCUGGAUUGUAGGGUGGACUCGAUAACCUGGUCAUUAUUUUUUUGAAGCCAAAAUAUCCAUUUAUACUAUGUACCUGGUGACCAGUGUCUCUCAUUUUAACUGAGGGUGGUGGGUCUGUGGAUAGAACACUGACUCUUGCUAUUUUAAUAUCAAAGAUAUUCUAGAGUGGAACUCUUAAGACCAGUAUCUUUGUGUGGGCUUUACCAGCAUUCACUUUUAGAAAAACUACCUAAAUUUUAUAAUCCUUUAAUUUCUUCAUCUGGAGCACCUGCCCCUACUUAUUUCAAGAAGAUUGCAGUAAAACGAUUAAAUGAGGGAACAUAUGCAGAGGUGCUUUUAAAAAGCAUAUGCCACCUUUUUUAUUAAUUAUUAUAUAAAAUGAAGCAUUUAAUUAUAGUAAUAAUUUGAAGUAGUUUGAAGUACCACACUGAGGUGAGGACUUAAAAAUGAUAAGACGAGUUCCCUAUUUUAUAAGAAAAAUAAGCCAAAAUUAAAUAUUCUUUUGGAUAUAAAUUUCAACAGUGAGAUAGCUGCCUAGUGGAAAUGAAUAAUAUCCCAGCCACUAGUGUACAGGGUGUUUUGUGGCACAGGAUUAUGUAAUAUGGAACUGCUCAAGCAAAUAACUAGUCAUCACAACAGCAGUUCUUUGUAAUAACUGAAAAAGAAUAUUGUUUCUCGGAGAAGGAUGUCAAAAGAUCGGCCCAGCUCAGGGAGCAGUUUGCCCUACUAGCUCCUCGGACAGCUGUAAAGAAGAGUCUCUGGCUCUUUAGAAUACUGAUCCCAUUGAAGAUACCACGCUGCAUGUGUCCUUAGUAGUCAUGUCUCCUUAGGCUCCUCUUGGACAUUCUGAGCAUGUGAGACCUGAGGACUGCAAACAGCUAUAAGAGGCUCCAAAUUAAUCAUAUCUUUCCCUUUGAGAAUCUGGCCAAGCUCCAGCUAAUCUACUUGGAUGGGUUGCCAGCUAUCUGGAGAAAAAGCUCUUCAUUGUUCCUAUCUGCCAAAUCAUUAUACUUCCUACAAGCAGUGCAGAGAGCUGAGUCUUCAGCAGGUCCAAGAAAUUUGAACACACUGAAGGAAGUCAGCCUUCCCACCUGAAGAUCAACAUGCCUGGCACUCUAGCACUUGAGGAUAGCUGAAUGAAUGUGUAUUUCUUUGUCUCUUUCUUUCUUGUCUUUGCUCUUUGUUCUCUAUCUAAAGUGUGUCUUACCCAUUUCCAUGUUUCUCUUGCUAAUUUCUUUCGUGUGUGCCUUUGCCUCAUUUUCUCUUUUUGUUCACAAGAGUGGUCUGUGUCUUGUCUUAGACAUAUCUCUCAUUUUUCAUUUUGUUGCUAUUUCUCUUUGCUCUCCUAGAUGUGGCUCUUCUUUCACGCUUUAUUUCAUGUCUCCUUUUUGGGUCACAUGCUGUGUGCUUUUUGUCCUUUUCUUGUUCUGUCUACCUCUCCUUUCUCUGCCUACCUCUCUUUUCUCUUUGUGAACUGUGAUUAUUUGUUACCCCUUCCCCUUCUCGUUCGUUUUAAAUUUCACCUUUUUUCUGAGUCUGGCCUCCUUUCUGCUGUUUCUACUUUUUAUCUCACAUUUCUCAUUUCUGCAUUUCCUUUCUGCCUCUCUUGGGCUAUUCUCUCUCUCCUCCCCUGCGUGCCUCAGCAUCUCUUGCUGUUUGUGAUUUUCUAUUUCAGUAUUAAUCUCUGUUGGCUUGUAUUUGUUCUCUGCUUCUUCCCUUUCUACUCACCUUUGAGUAUUUCAGCCUCUUCAUGAAUCUAUCUCCCUCUCUUUGAUUUCAUGUAAUCUCUCCUUAAAUAUUUCUUUGCAUAUGUGGGCAAGUGUACGUGUGUGUGUGUCAUGUGUGGCAGAGGGGCUUCCUAACCCCUGCCUGAUAGGUGCAGAACGUCGGCUAUCAGAGCAAGCAUUGUGGAGCGGUUCCUUAUGCCAGGCUGCCAUGUGAGAUGAUCCAAGACCAAAACAAGGCCCUAGACUGCAGUAAAACCCAGAACUCAAGUAGGGCAGAAGGUGGAAGGCUCAUAUGGAUAGAAGGCCCAAAGUAUAAGACAGAUGGUUUGAGACUUGAGACCCGAGGACUAAGAUGGAAAGCCCAUGUUCCAAGAUAGAUAGAAGCCUCAGGCCUGAAACCAACAAAAGCCUCAAGAGCCAAGAAAACAGAGGGUGGCCUGAAUUGGACCGAAGGCCUGAGUUGGAUGGAAGUCUCAAGGCUUGAGUUAGAAGUCUUAAGACCUGGGACAGGACACAUGGAAGGCCUAAGAACUGAGACUUGUGACACAAGGCCAACGACCUAAGAUUAGCCCAGGGUUGUAGCUGGAAGACCUACAACCCAAGGAUGGAAGGCCCCUGUCACAAAGCCUACCUAGAUGGAUAGAGGACCCAAGCGAAAAAGGUAUCUCAAGACUAACGGCCGGAAUCUGGAGGCCCAUGACCCAGAACCCAGGAAGGAUAGAAGCUUGAAGACCUGGGGAAAUCCCAAGAUGAGAACCCUAAACCCUACCUCUUUUCUAUUGUUUACACUUCUUACUCUUAGAUAUUUCCAGUUCUCCUGUUUAUCUUUAAGCCUGAUUCUUUUGAGAUGUACUUUUUGAUGUUGCCGGUUACCUUUAGAUUGACAGUAUUAUGCCUGGGCCAGUCUUGAGCCAGCUUUAAAUCACAGCUUUUACCUAUUUGUUAGGCUAUAGUGUUUUGUAAACUUCUGUUUCUAUUCACAUCUUCUCCACUUGAGAGAGACACCAAAAUCCAGUCAGUAUCUAAUCUGGCUUUUGUUAACUUCCCUCAGGAGCAGACAUUCAUAUAGGUGAUACUGUAUUUCAGUCCUUUCUUUUGACCCCAGAAGCCCUAGACUGAGAAGAUAAAAUGGUCAGGUUGUUGGGGAAAAAAAAGUGCCAGGCUCUCUAGAGAAAAAUGUGAAGAGAUGCUCCAGGCCAAUGAGAAGAAUUAGACAAGAAAUACACAGAUGUGCCAGACUUCUGAGAAGCACCUGCCAGCAACAGCUUCCUUCUUUGAGCUUAGGUGAGCAGGAUUCUGGGGUUUGGGAUUUCUAGUGAUGGUUAUGGAAAGGGUGACUGUGCCUGGGACAAAGCGAGGUCCCAAGGGGACAGCCUGAACUCCCUGCUCAUAGUAGUGGCCAAAUAAUUUGGUGGACUGUGCCAACGCUACUCCUGGGUUUAAUACCCAUCUCUAGGCUUAAAGAUGAGAGAACCUGGGACUGUUGAGCAUGUUUAAUACUUUCCUUGAUUUUUUUCUUCCUGUUUAUGUGGGAAGUUGAUUUAAAUGACUGAUAAUGUGUAUGAAAGCACUGUAAAACAUAAGAGAAAAACCAAUUAGUGUAUUGGCAAUCAUGCAGUUAACAUUUGAAAGUGCAGUGUAAAUUGUGAAGCAUUAUGUAAAUCAGGGGUCCACAGUUUUUCUGUAAGGGGUCAAAUCAUAAAUACUUUAGACUGUGGGCCAUAUGGUUUCUGUUACAUAUUUGUUUUUUAAACAACGUUUUUAUAAGGUCAAAAUCAUUCUUAGUUUUUGAGCCAAUUGGAUUUGGCCUGCUGUUCAUAGCUUACCACCCCCUGAUGUAUUAUUUGUUAUUCAGAGAAAAUUUCUGAAUACUACUAGUUUCCUUUUCUGUGCCUGUCCCUGUGCUAGGCACUAAAAAUGCAAUGAUUAUUGAUAUCUAGGUGACCUGAAAAAAAAUAGUGAAUGUGCUUUGUAAACUGUAAAGCACUUGUAUUCUACUGUGAUAAGCGUUGUGGAUACAAAGAAAGGAGCAAGCAUAAAAAAGUGCUCUUUCAAAAGGAUAUAGUACUAUGCAGACACAAGGAAUUGUUUGAUAAAUGAAUAAAUUAUAUGUAUAUUUGAGGCCAAUUUGUGUUUGCUGCUCUGGUAAUUUUGAGUAAAAAUGCAGUAUUCCAGGUAUCAGAAACGAAAACACAUGGAAACUGCUUUUAAACUUUAAAAUAUACUGAAAACAUAAGGGACUAAGCUUGUUGUGGUCACCUAUAAUGUGCCAGAUACCAUGCUGGGUGCUAGAGCUACCAAAGGGGGAAAAGUAUUCUCAUAGAACAAAAAAUUUCAGAAAGGUGCAUAUUAAAGUGCUUUGUAAACUAAAGCAUGAUACAAAUGUCAAUGGGCUACAUAUUUAUGAAUGAAUGAAUGGAUGAAUGAAUAUUAAGUGCCUCUUACAUACCAGCUAUUUUGGGUACUGUAAAAUACAAGAUUAAUUCUCCUAUGUAAUAAGAGGAAAGUUUAUCCUCUAUACUAUUCAGAUGUAAGGAAUGAUAUAUUGCUUAAUUUUAAACAAUCAAGACUUUACUGGUGAGGUUAAGUUAAAUUAUUACUGAUACAUUUUUCCAGGUAACCAGGAAAGAGCUAGUAUGAGGAAAUGAAGUAAUAGAUGUGAGAUCCAGACCGAAAGUCACUUAAUUCAGCUUGCGAAUGUGCUUUCUAAAUUAUAAAGCACUUGUAAAUGAAAAAUUUGAUGCUUUCUGUAUGAAUAAAACUUUCUGUAAGCUAGGUAUUGUCUCUACAAAAUUCUCAUUGUAUAGUUAAACCACAGUGAGAAGGGUUCUAUAAGUAGUUAUACAAACCAAGGGUUUAAAUACCUGUUAAAUAGAUCAAUUUUGAUUGCCUACUAUGUGAACUCACUGUUAAAGGCACUGAAAAUUUAUCAUAUUUCAUUUAGCCACAGCCAAAAAUAAGGCAAUACCUAUGUUAGCAUUUUGUGAACUCUAAGGCACCAUAUAAAUGUAACUGUUGAUUUUCUCACUUGGUGCUGGGUACUAGGUUUAUAAAAUUGUAUGAUAGUUAUUAUAUUGUGCAAAUAAAGUAGGAAAAUUUGAAUAACAAUGAUUAUCUUUUGAAUACGCAUACGCAAGGGAUUGGUUGUCUGAAGAAUGCCACUAUAGUAGUUAUCUAUUGUGUGCCAAUCUCAUUGCUAGGCAUUGGGGAUGCAAAGAUAAACCAUCUUUAUUGUGUCUUGGGUAGCAGAAGAAAAUAUGUGUAAAAUCAAUUUAUAAUUUGUAAACUGCCACCCAUAUAUAAGCUAUAUCUGCUGAAUGAUCAUUGAUUACUCUUAUCCUUAGAGAUAACAACUGGGGGCACAAACAUUUAUUAUCAUUAUUGAACCUACAACAGAGAUCUAUGUGUAGAUUUACAAAGCCUACAGUUCUAUACAGAUAGGAAUGAACUAUUGGCUUACUGAAUGGUGAUUACUUUCUGUGGGGCUCGGAACUACAUGCCCUAGGAUAUAAAAAUGAUGUUAUCAUUAUAGAGUGCUCACAGAAGGAAAUGAAGUAAUAUAGGUGUGAGAUCCAGACCAAAAGUCAUUUAACAAGUUUAUUCAGUGAUGAAAACAUGGGACAAAUGGACUAAUAUAAGGCAGUGUACUAAGCUGAGUAGAGAGAUAAAGUCCUGUCCAGAAGAUACAUGCUUCCUGGCCUGAUUGAGGAGAUGGAAAAUUUUUGCAAAAAACAAGGUGUUGUGGUCUUCCAUCCAGUUUCUUAAGUGCUGAUGAUAAAAGUGAAUUAGACCCACCUUGACCUGGCCUACAGAAGUAAAGGAGUAAAAAUAAAUGCCUCAGGCGUGCUUUUUGAUUCAUUUGAUAAACAAAGCAUCUUUUAUGUGGAAUAUACCAUUCUGGGUCCUGAGGAUAAGAGAGAUGAGGGCAUUAGAUCACUGACAGCUGAAGAUAGAAGAACAUCUUUGGUUUGAUUGUUUAAAUAAUAUUUCAAUGCCUAUUCUCUGCAAGGUACUAUGUUUCGUAAAUUAAAUAGGUCUGGCCCAGAAGACCCACUCAAUUGCCUUUGAGAUUAAAAAAAAAAAAAAAAAGAAAGAAAAAUGCAAGUUUCUUUCAAAAUAAAGAGACAUUUUUCCUAGUUUCAGGAAUCCCCCAAAUCACUUCCUCAUUGGCUUAGUUUAAAGCCAGGAGACUGAUAAAAGGGCUCAGGGUUUGUUCUUUAAUUCAUUAACUAAACAUUCUGCUUUUAUUACAGUUAAAUGGUUCAAGAUGUAACAACUAGUUUUAAAGGUAUUUGCUCAUUGGUCUGGCUUAGAGACAGGAAGACAUAUGAGCAAUAAAAAAAAGAUUCUUUUGCAUUUACCAAUUUAGUAAAAAUUUAUUAAAACUGAAUAAAGUGCUGUUCUUAAGUGCUUGAAAGACGUAAACCAAAGUGCACUUUAUCUCAUUUAUCUUAUGGUGGAAACACAGGAACAAAUUCUCUAAGAGACUGUGUUUCUUUAGUUGAGAAGAAACUUCAUUGAGUAGCUGUGAUAUGUUCGAUACUAAGGAAAAACUAAACAGAUCACCUUUGACAUGCGUUGUAGAGUGGGAAUAAGAGAGGGCUUUUUAUUUUUUCGUUCAUACGAGUAUUGAUGAAGAUGAUACUAAAUGCUAAAUGAAAUAUAUCUGCUCCAAAAGGCAUUUAUUCUGACUUGGAGAUGCAACAAAAACACAAAAAUGGAAUGAAGUGAUACUCUUCAUCAAACAGAAGUGACUGUUAUCUCAACCAUUUUGUUAAAUCCUAAACAGAAAACAAAAAAAAUCAUGACGAAAAGACACUUGCUUAUUAAUUGGCUUGGAAAGUAGAAUAUAGGAGAAAGGUUACUGUUUAUUUUUUUUCAUGUAUUCAUUCAUUCUACAAAUAUAUUCGGGUGCCAAUAGGUACUUGGUAUAAGGUUUUUGGCCCCAGAGACAUGGGAAAAAAAUGCAUGCCUUCCCAGAGAAUGCCUAAUACUUUCCUUUUGGCUUGUUUUCUUGUUAGGGGCAUGGCUUAGUCCCUAAAUAACAUUGUGUGGUUUAAUUCCUACUCCGUAUCUCUUCUACCACUCUGGCCACUACGAUAAGCAGGUAGCUGGGUUUUGUAGUGAGCUUGCUCCUUAAGUUACAGGAACUCUCCUUAUAAUAGACACUUCAUUUUCCUAGUCCAUCCCUCAUGAAAAAUGACUGACCACUGCUGGGCAGCAGGAGGGAUGAUGACCAACUAAUUCCCAAACCCCAGUCUCAUUGGUACCAGCCUUGGGGAACCACCUACACUUGAGCCACAAUUGGUUUUGAAGUGCAUUUACAAGGUUUGUCUAUUUUCAGUUCUUUACUUUUUACAUGCUGACACAUACAUACACUGCCUAAAUAGAUCUCUUUCAGAAACAAUCCUCAGAUAACGCAUAGCAAAAUGGAGAUGGAGACAUGAUUUCUCAUGCAACAGCUUCUCUAAUUAUACCUUAGAAAUGUUCUCCUUUUUAUCAUCAAAUCUGCUCAAGAAGGGCUUUUUAUAGUAGAAUAAUAUCAGUGGAUGAAAACAGCUUAACAUUUUACCAUGCUUAAGUUUUAAGAAUAAAAUAAAAAUUGGAAAUAAUUGGCCAAAAUUGAAAGGAAAAAUUUUUUUAAAAUUUCUCUAAAUGUAGGCCUGGCUGGGCUUUGACCUUUUCCGUUUUUAAAUCACUCACAGAGGGUGGGACAGGAGGAAGAGUGAAGGAAAAGGUCAAACCUGUUUUAAGGGCAACCUGCCUUUGUUCUGAAUUGGUCUUAAGAACAUUACCAGCUCCAGGUUUAAAUUGUUCAGUUUCAUGCAGUUCCAAUAGCUGAUCAUUGUUGAGAUGAGGACAAAAUCCUUUGUCCUCACUAGUUUGCUUUACAUUUUUGAAAAGUAUUAUUUUUGUCCAAGUGCUUAUCAACUAAACCUUGUGUUAGGUAAGAAUGGAAUUUAUUAAGUGAAUCAGUGUGACCCUUCUUGUCAUAAGAUUAUCUUAAAGCUGAAGCCAAAAUAUGCUUCAAAAGAAGAGGACUUUAUUGUUCAUUGUAGUUCAUACAUUCAAAGCAUCUGAACUGUAGUUUCUAUAGCAAGCCAAUUACAUCCAUAAGUGGAGAAGGAAAUAGAUAAAUGUCAAAGUAUGAUUGGUGGAGGGAGCAAGGUUGAAGAUAAUCUGGGGUUGAAAUUUUCUAGUUUUCAUUCUGUACAUUUUUAGUUAGACAUCAGAUUUGAAAUAUUAAUGUUUACCUUUCAAUGUGUGGUAUCAGCUGGACUCAGUAACACCCCUUUCUUCAGCUGGGGAUGGGGAAUGGAUUAUUGGAAAAUGGAAAGAAGAAAGUAACUAAAAGCCUUCCUUUCACAGUUUCUGGCAUCACUACCACUACUGAUUAAACAAGAAUAAGAGAACAUUUUAUCAUCAUCUGCUUUAUUCACAUAAAUGAAGUUGUGAUGAAUAAAUCUGCUUUUAUGCAGACACAAGGAAUUAAGUGGCUUCGUCAUUGUCCUUCUACCUCAAAGAUAAUUUAUUCCAAAAGCUAAGAUAAAUGGAAGACUCUUGAACUUGUGAACUGAUGUGAAAUGCAGAAUCUCUUUUGAGUCUUUGCUGUUUGGAAGAUUGAAAAAUAUUGUUCAGCAUGGGUGACCACCAGAAAGUAAUCUUAAGCCAUCUAGAUGUCACAAUUGAAACAAACUGGGGAGUUGGUUGCUAU